This is a long non-coding RNA of Hyla sarda, 476 nucleotides long. RefSeq lists it as uncharacterized. The record is from RefSeq and is a predicted model, not a curated record. The transcript has 3 exons. NCBI's taxonomy places the organism in Eukaryota, Metazoa, Chordata, Amphibia, Anura, Hylidae.
GGGUCCUCAUACCAUCCAGAACAUAAUCCAGUCUGAUUGCAGUAUCAUCUUUGUCCCAGCUGAAGCACAGGCUGAGUCAAAGCUCAAGAAGUGAGGGUGGGACUAGCACUUCUCUGUGCUCCCUCCUGUUCUGUCAGACUGCAGCAUGAAAACAGAGAGGAAAGGGUUACAGAGCAGCCUGCAAUGAUUGGAUGAAGAGACCCAGCACAGCAGACUCAGGAAGGAAGAAAAUGCAUGGUGUUUCAAAUUGGACUGGAUCAUGUAAGACGGUGGUCAACACUGGCAAGACAUCCAUACCCUGAAAACAUAAAAUAGGGUCAUGCUUUGUUCAUUCUCAGGUGGAGCGCACCCUCACAGCAGGCAAAUUGCUUACCUUGGGAAUUUUGUAUCCCUGGAGGGUCACAUCUUUGGUAGCACAGCGGAUACAACCCAAAGGAAGGACAUCACUUAUUCUCUGGAUUUCAUGGAUUACAGCA